CAGAUAAAUGCUGUGAAUCUGUUUCAGUACAACGCUCAGUAGAAAAGCGUUGAUUCUGUUUGAUCUCUCUUUGUCUUGAUUCGUACCAGCUCCGCACUCAACCGCAAAAAAGAAACGAGUGGCGGAUCUAAGCAUGGGGAGAUGCAAGAUUGUAAUUAGGAGGAUCGAUAAUUCGACGAGCAGACAAGUGACUUUCUCAAAGCGUAGGAGCGGACUGCUGAAGAAGGCGGAAGAACUGGCGAUCCUUUGCGACGCCGAUGUUGGAGUCAUCAUCUUCUCCAGCACUAACAAACUCUACGAAUACUCCAGCUCCAGCAUGAAAACACUAAUAGAACGAUAUAAUAAAACAAAAGAGGAGCACCAUCAGCUUGGGAACUCGACUUCUGAAGUCAAGUAUUGGCAAAGGGAAGCAGCAAUGUUACGGCAGCAACUCCAGAGCUUACAUGAAAAUCAUCGGCAAAUGAUGGGUGAAGAGCUGACUGGUCUAAGCGUCAAAGAUCUGCAGAAUCUAGAAAAUCAAUUGGAGAUGAGUCUCCGUGGCAUCCGUAUGAAGAAGGACAAAAUUUUAAUGGAUGAGAUACAAGACCUAAAUAGAAAGGUAAACCUAAUUCACCAAGACAAUAUGGAACUCUAUAAGAAGGUAAAUCUAAUUCAUCAAGAAAAUCUGGAAUUACAGAAAAAGGUCUAUGGAACAAAAGAUGCCAAUGGAGCACACAUAAGCAGUCUUACAAACGGACUUAGUUUUGGAGAGGAUGCAGGCAUACCUAUCGACCUUCAGCUCAGCCAGCCACAGCCACAAGAACAUGCGGCACCAGAAAGAGCUACAAAACUAGGACUAUAGCUACGCUAGCAAAAAGACACCCUACACCAACCAGGAAGAUGUUUCUUAUUUUGCAUCAAGAAAACGGUGUAUGGUUGCUAAUUAUCUUUCAAUCGACGAGAUGUGGUAGAGUAGCGGAUUAUUCCAUACCAAAAGAAACCAGCUUUGUCUAGUUUGUGGUGAUUAAAACAAGCGUAUUUUUGUGAAGAGAAGACUAUGCAAAACAAAAAAUAAUUGGAACCGCACCAGCAUGCACACUUCAUUUUCCAGAAAUCUUAAGGUGACAGAAAGAAAUUGUUGGUCCUCUGAGAAUCGAUCCUGGAACCUUCUCUCCAGAAGGAACAUUAGAGAAGCUGAAAUUGAAAAGUGGGUUAAUCA
This is an RNA transcript of Cucurbita moschata (crookneck pumpkin), 1198 nucleotides long. It is a transcript of the gene named MADS-box transcription factor 23-like, with no coding region annotated. NCBI's taxonomy places the organism in Eukaryota, Viridiplantae, Streptophyta, Magnoliopsida, Cucurbitales, Cucurbitaceae. The transcript has 10 exons. The record is from RefSeq and is a predicted model, not a curated record.